RNAcentral lists this ribosomal RNA (253 nucleotides) under uncultured bacterium. RNAcentral describes it as "partial 16S ribosomal RNA". It matches the Rfam family "Bacterial small subunit ribosomal RNA", at positions 524 to 776 of the family's 1533-position model. The record is from RNAcentral.
AACGUAGGAGGCUAGCGUUAUCCGGAUUUACUGGGCGUAAAGCGCACGCAGGCGGUUGUGUAAGUCGGACGUGAAAUCUCUCGGCUCAACUGGGAGGAGUCGUUCGAUACUGCGCAGCUUGAGGUUGGGAGAGGGAAGCGGAAUUCCCGGUGUAGUGGUGGAAUGCGUAGAUAUCGGGAGGAACACCAGUGGCGAAAGCGGCUUCCUGGCCCACACCUGACGCUCAUGUGCGAAAGCGUGGGGAGCGAACGGG